GAUGAACGCUGGCGGCGUGCCUAAUACAUGCAAGUCGAGCGAACAGACGAGGAGCUUGCUCCUCUGACGUUAGCGGCGGACGGGUGAGUAACACGUGGAUAACCUACCUAUAAGACUGGGAUAACUUCGGGAAACCGGAGCUAAUACCGGAUAAUAUAUUGAACCGCAUGGUUCAAUAGUGAAAGACGGUUUUGCUGUCACUUAUAGAUGGAUCCGCGCCGCAUUAGCUAGUUGGUAAGGUAACGGCUUACCAAGGCAACGAUGCGUAGCCGACCUGAGAGGGUGAUCGGCCACACUGGAACUGAGACACGGUCCAGACUCCUACGGGAGGCAGCAGUAGGGAAUGUUCCGCAAUGGGCGAAAGCCUGACGGAGCAGCGCCGCGUGAGUGAUGAAGGUCUUCGGAUCGUAAAACUCUGUUAUUAGGGAAGAACAAAUGUGUAAGUAACUAUGCACGUCUUGACGGUACCUGAUCAGAAAGCCACGGCUAACUACGUG
RNAcentral lists this ribosomal RNA (497 nucleotides) under uncultured bacterium. Its description in RNAcentral is "partial 16S ribosomal RNA". It matches the Rfam family "Bacterial small subunit ribosomal RNA", at positions 28 to 507 of the family's 1533-position model. The record is from RNAcentral.